UAACGCUGAGGUGUGAUGACGAGGCACUACGGUGCUGAAGUAACAAAUGCCCUGCUUCCAGGAAAAGCCUCUAAGCAUCAGGUAACACAAAAUCGUACCCCAAACCGACACAGGUGGUCAGGUAGAGAAUACCAAGGCGCUUGAGAGAACUCGGGUGAAGGAACUAGGCAAAAUGGUGCCGUAACUUCGGGAGAAGGCACGCUGAUAUGUAGGUGAAGUGAUUUACUCAUGGAGCUGAAAUCAGUCGAAGAUACCAGCUGGCUGCAACUGUUUAUUAAAAACACAGCACUGUGCAAACACGAAAGUGGACGUAUACGGUGUGACGCCUGCCCGGUGCCGGAAGGUUAAUUGAUGGGGUUAUCCGUAAGGAGAAGCUCUUGAUCGAAGCCCCGGUAAACGGCGGCCGUAACUAUAACGGUCCUAAGGUAGCGAAAUUCCUUGUCGGGUAAGUUCCGACCUGCACGAAUGGCGUAAUGAUGGCCAGGCUGUCUCCACCCGAGACUCAGUGAAAUUGAACUCGCUGUGAAGAUGCAGUGUACCCGCGGCAAGACGGAAAGACCCCGUGAACCUUUACUAUAGCUUGACACUGAACACUGGUCCUUGAUGUGUAGGAUAGGUGGGAGGCUUUGAAGUGUGGACGCCAGUCUGCAUGGAGCCAACCUUGAAAUACCACCCUUUAAUGGCUGGUGUUCUAACGUAGACCCGUAAUCCGGGUUGCGGACAGUGUCUGGUGGGUAGUUUGACUGGGGCGGUCUCCUCCUAAAGAGUAACGGAGGAGCACGAAGGUUAGCUAAUCCUGGUCGGACAUCAGGAGGUUAGUGCAAAGGCAUAAGCUAGCUUGACUGCGAGAGUGACGGCUCGAGCAGGUGCGAAAGCAGGUCUUAGUGAUCCGGUGGUUCUGAAUGGAAGGGCCAUCGCUCAACGGAUAAAAGGUACUCCGGGGAUAACAGGCUGAUACCGCCCAAGAGUUCAUAUCGACGGCGGUGUUUGGCACCUCGAUGUCGGCUCAUCACAUCCUGGGGCUGAAGUAGGUCCCAAGGGUAUGGCUGUUCGCCAUUUAAAGUGGUACGCGAGCUGGGUUUAGAACGUCGUGAGACAGUUCGGUCCCUAUCUGCCGUGGGCGCUGGAGAAUUGAGGGGGGCUGCUCCUAGUACGAGAGGACCGGAGUGGACGCAUCACUGGUGUUCGGGUUGUCAUGCCAAUGGCAUUGCCCGGUAGCUAAAUGCGGAAGAGAUAAGUGCUGAAAGCAUCUAAGCACGAAACUUGCCCCGAGAUGAGUUCUCCCUGACCCUUUAAGGGUCCUGAAGGAACGUUGAAGACGACGACGUUGAUAGGUCGGGUGUGUAAGCGUAGCGAUACGUUGAGCUAACCGAUACUAAUGAACCGUGAGGCUUAACCUUACAACGCCGAAG
RNAcentral lists this ribosomal RNA (1412 nucleotides) under Citrobacter braakii. RNAcentral's name for it is "partial 23S ribosomal RNA". It matches the Rfam family "Bacterial large subunit ribosomal RNA", at positions 1551 to 2925 of the family's 2925-position model. The record is from RNAcentral. Lineage: Bacteria; Pseudomonadati; Pseudomonadota; Gammaproteobacteria; Enterobacterales; Enterobacteriaceae.